Molecule: ribosomal RNA, 462 nt
Filed under: uncultured bacterium
Lineage: Bacteria
Description: partial 16S ribosomal RNA
Rfam family: Bacterial small subunit ribosomal RNA
Source: RNAcentral
GACGAACGCUGGCGGCGUGCUUAACACAUGCAAGUCGAACGGUGAAGCCCUUCGGGGUGGAUCAGUGGCGAACGGGUGAGUAACACGUGAGCAACCUGCCCCUGGCUCUGGGACAACCACUGGAAACGGUGGCUAAUACCGGAUACGACCCGCCUCGGCAUCGAGUGUGGGUGGAAAGUUUUUCGGCGGGGGAUGGGCUCGCGGCCUAUCAGCUUGUUGGUGAGGUGAAGGCUCACCAAGGCGACGACGGGUAGCCGGCCUGAGAGGGCGACCGGCCACACUGGGACUGAGACACGGCCCAGACUCCUACGGGAGGCAGCAGUGGGGAAUAUUGCACAAUGGGCGAAAGCCUGAUGCAGCGACGCCGCGUGAGGGAUGACGGCCUUCGGGUUGUAAACCUCUUUCAGCUCCGAAGAAGCGAAAGUGACGGUAGGAGCAGAAGAAGCACCGGCUAACUACGUG